RNAcentral lists this ribosomal RNA (497 nucleotides) under uncultured bacterium. Its description in RNAcentral is "partial 16S ribosomal RNA". It matches the Rfam family "Bacterial small subunit ribosomal RNA", at positions 28 to 507 of the family's 1533-position model. The record is from RNAcentral.
GAUGAACGCUGGCGGCGUGCCUAAUACAUGCAAGUCGAGCGAACAGACGAGGAGCUUGCUCCUCUGACGUUAGCGGCGGACGGGUGAGUAACACGUGGAUAACCUACCUAUAAGACUGGGAUAACUUCGGGAAACCGGAGCUAAUACCGGAUAAUAUAUUGAACCGCAUGGUUCAAUAGUGAAAGACGGUUUUGCUGUCACUUAUAGAUGGAUCCGCGUCGCAUUAGCUAGUUGGUAAGGUAACGGCUUACCAAGGCAACGAUGCGUAGCCGACCUGAGAGGGUGAUCGGCCACACUGGAACUGAGACACGGUCCAGACUCCUACGGGAGGCAGCAGUAGGGAAUCUUCCGCAAUGCGCGAAAGCUUGACGGAGCAACGCCGCGUGAGUGAUGAAGGUCUUCGGAUCGUAAAACUCUGUUAUUAGGGAAGAACAAAUGUGUAAGUAACUAUGCACGUCUUGACGGUACCUAAUCAGAAAGCCACGGCUAACUACGUG